GAUGAACGCUGGCGGCGUGCCUAAUACAUGCAAGUCGGGCGAACGGACGAGAAGCUUGCUUCUCUGAUGUUAGCGGCGGACGGGUGAGUAACACGUGGAUAACCUACCUAUAAGACUGGGAUAACUUCGGGAAACCGUAGCUAAUACCGGAUAAUAUUUUGAACCGCAUGGUUCAAAAGUGAAAGACGGUCUUGCUGUCACUUAUAGAUGGAUCCGCGCUGCAUUAGCUAGUUGGUAAGGUAACGGCUUACCAAGGCAACGAUGCAUAGCCGGCCUGAGAGGGUGAUCGGCCACACUGGAACUGAGACACGGUCCAGACUCCUACGGGAGUCAGCAGUAGGGAAUCUUCCGCAAUGGGCGAAAGCCUGACGGAGCAACGCCGCGUGAGUGAUGAAGGUCUUCGGAUCGUAAAACUCUGUUAUUAGGGAAGAACAUAUGUGUAAGUAACUGUGCACAUCUUGACGGUACCUAAUCAGAAAGCCACGGCUAACUACGUG
This 497-nucleotide ribosomal RNA is filed under the name uncultured bacterium. RNAcentral describes it as "partial 16S ribosomal RNA". It matches the Rfam family "Bacterial small subunit ribosomal RNA", at positions 28 to 507 of the family's 1533-position model. The record is from RNAcentral.